AAUCCGCAGACGCUGUGCUCCUGUGAUUCUUGAACGAGCUGCAUUCCACUAUGAUUCGUCAAUUGAUUAUUGUGCCGACAAAUCAGUAAAAAUUGGGGAUAUGAAAACAAUUUGUAAAUAUUGUAAGGAGUUAAAGUACACUGGUCUACUGGAUUAUGUUGCGCUGAAGGCAAAGUAAAAUUGCCACAAUUGGUCCCACCACCAGAUCCUUUACGCUCCUUAGUUUCUGGGAUUGGAAAUGAUUCGAAGCACUUUUUGACCAACAUUCAGAAAUAUAACAACUGUGUUCAGAUGCCAUCAUUUGGUGCUACACAUAUUAUACAAGCCAAUUUCAUGCCCACUUUUAAGAUACAAGGACAAUUUUAUCACUUACUGGGAACUCUGAUACCACUACCUGAUGCAGAUCAUCAAUUUUUACAAAUUUAUUUUAUGGGCAAUUCAGAUGCGGAAAUUAAUAUUCGUUGUGCUCACAAACCAACAGUAAAGAGAACCAUUGUCCAACAAUUACAAAUGUUUCUUCAUCAGAAUAACAAUUUAGUAAACAUGAUCAAAAUAGCAUUGGAUCGGAUGCCAUCUGAUAGCCAUAAUACUGGAAGACUGGCUGUGAAAAGACUGAUGAAUAACGUCAUUGAGACAA
This is a long non-coding RNA of Drosophila ananassae, 637 nucleotides long. RefSeq lists it as uncharacterized. The transcript has 2 exons. The record is from RefSeq and is a predicted model, not a curated record. Lineage: Eukaryota; Metazoa; Arthropoda; Insecta; Diptera; Drosophilidae.